This 372-nucleotide ribosomal RNA is filed under the name Sphingomonas sp. oral taxon A66. RNAcentral's name for it is "bacterial SSU rRNA". It matches the Rfam family "Bacterial small subunit ribosomal RNA", at positions 29 to 427 of the family's 1533-position model. The record is from RNAcentral. Lineage: Bacteria; Pseudomonadati; Pseudomonadota; Alphaproteobacteria; Sphingomonadales; Sphingomonadaceae.
AACGAACGCUGGCGGCAUGCCUAACACAUGCAAGUCGAACGAACCCUUCGGGGUUAGUGGCGCACGGGUGCGUAACGCGUGGGAAUCUGCCCUUUGCUUCGGAAUAACAGUUAGAAAUGACUGCUAAUACCAGAUGAUGUCUUCGGACCAAAGAUUUAUCGGCAAAGGAUGAGCCCGCGUAGGAUUAGGUAGUUGGUGGGGUAAAGGCCUACCAAGCCGACGAUCCUUAGCUGGUCUGAGAGGAAGAUCAGCCACACUGGGACUGAGACACGGCCCAGACUCCUACGGGAGGCAGCAGUGGGGAAUAUUGGACAAUGGGCGCAAGCCUGAUCCAGCAAUGCCGCGUGAGUGAUAAAGGCCUUUCGGGUCGUA